AUCUACCCCUUGGUUCGGAAUAACAGUUGGAAACGACUGCUAAUACCGGAUGAUGACGUAAGUCCAAAGAUUUAUCGCCGAGGGAUGAGCCCGCGUAGGAUUAGCUAGUUGGUGUGGUAAAGGCGCACCAAGGCGACGAUCCUUAGCUGGUCUGAGAGGAUGAUCAGCCACACUGGGACUGAGACACGGCCCAGACUCCUACGGGAGGCAGCAGUGGGGAAUAUUGGACAAUGGGCGAAAGCCUGAUCCAGCAAUGCCGCGUGAGUGAUGAAGGCCUUAGGGUUGUAAAGCUCUUUUACCCGGGAUGAUAAUGACAGUACCGGGAGAAUAAGCUCCGGCUAACUCCGUGCCAGCAGCCGCGGUAAUACGGAGGGAGCUAGCGUUAUUCGGAAUUACUGGGCGUAAAGCGCACGUAGGCGGCUUUGU
Molecule: ribosomal RNA, 426 nt
Filed under: uncultured Sphingomonas sp.
Lineage: Bacteria; Pseudomonadati; Pseudomonadota; Alphaproteobacteria; Sphingomonadales; Sphingomonadaceae
Description: bacterial SSU rRNA
Rfam family: Bacterial small subunit ribosomal RNA
Source: RNAcentral